UACGAAGGGGGCUAGCGUUGUUCGGAUUUACUGGGCGUAAAGCGCACGUAGGCGGAUCGUUAAGUCGGGGGUGAAAUCCUGGGGCUCAACCCCAGAACUGCCUUCGAUACUGGCGAUCUAGAGUCCGGAAGAGGUGAGUGGAACUCCUAGUGUAGAGGUGGAAUUCGUAGAUAUUAGGAAGAACACCAGUGGCGAAGGCGGCUCACUGGUCCGGUACUGACGCUGAGACGCGAAAGCGUGGGGAGCAAACAGG
RNAcentral lists this ribosomal RNA (253 nucleotides) under uncultured bacterium. RNAcentral's name for it is "partial 16S ribosomal RNA". It matches the Rfam family "Bacterial small subunit ribosomal RNA", at positions 524 to 776 of the family's 1533-position model. The record is from RNAcentral.